Molecule: long non-coding RNA, 2575 nt
Filed under: Sus scrofa (pig)
Lineage: Eukaryota; Metazoa; Chordata; Mammalia; Artiodactyla; Suidae
Description: lncRNA (ENSSSCG00000044972.1)
Source: RNAcentral
GUCAUUUCUGCAGGCUGGUAUCCUAAAAACUAAGGAUUUACUGUAUGAUUCUAUAUAUUCACAGGGAAAAAAAAACUAAUUUCAGAAUUUGAAUGGAUAAAGUCUGGCAGGGACACUGGAAAUCUCUGGUUCCUAGUCCAAAUAUUGAAUUUGCUUUAAAAUCAACUUCUAGUCAAAUAAUUGAUUUCUGCUUCAGUAUCGUUAGUGAUUAUAAUUAAGUCAGUAGCAAAAGAGGAAAGGGUAUGAUCUCCCCUUGGGAAGAUGAAAAGCGGCUUAGUAUGUAGGAGUCUGAAUACAAUCUUUGGAAUCAGUUAAUGAGUUCAAAACCUAGCUCCAGCACUUAAUAUCUUUGUGGCUUUGGGAAAGGUCAGUUUUCUCAUCUAUAAGAUGGGACAAAUAAAUCCCCCUAGAGAGCUGUUGGAAGGAUUACAAAGUACACAUGUAAGGUAUAGAGCAAAAUGUUUGAUAUAGAGUAGGUACUGGGGGGAAACAUCUUUUUCCCAUUUUGAUCCUCUGGCAGCAGAAGACUAAACUGGGCCUCAGCAGGGGAAGGCAAUCCUUGGACAAUUGAGAGCAAGCAAGAAUGCAUUUCCCAAGAUAUUAAUCUUUCUUCCUUUUGAGAGGUUCAUGGUACUGUUUGGCCUAGGGCUUUCUGACUGAGCUUGCUGUAAACACACCCAGAAUAUAAACACACACACACAUACACACGCACCCCACCGCCACAACUACCACACCAGUUAAGUCGAUUAUGCUACAUUUGCCUACAGAUGCCCACAUAAAAUGCAUCCUAGUUUCCUGUGGUUGGCAGUCAUGGCUGCCCCCAGCAUGCUGGCCCUGAUUAAUGUGCGGGAUAUGUGGGUUUGGGGCAUUAACAUAUACCCAAGCCUUCAGUGAAAGGCCAGACUGCUCACGUAAACAGUCCUUGCUCAUUCUGUUUCUGUUUCCCACGACAUAAAAUAAACUGGCUGUCACAUAUGUAUUGUAAGUAAACCGAGAAGUUUCUGAAGUACAUAUAUGGCAAACCAGCUCAUAAAUAGAUGGCUGAGGAGCUUUUGUUUCCGAAGUAAACUGUGCGUAGACAAUGACCUUACAGUGGAAGAGACACCAUUUGCACCUAGCAUUGGUUGGCUUUAUUUUUUAUAACUACCUUACGAAGCCAUAAUUUACAUACUAUAUAAUCCAUGCACUUAAGGUGUUCAAUUCAAAAAUUUUUAGUAUAUUCACCGAGUUUUGUAGCCAUCACCACAACCAAUUUUAGAACAUUUUUAUCACCUUGAAAGCUCAAAACCAUUAGGACUUAUUCCCCCUCAUCCCUCACACAGUCCUUGAGAAUCACCAGUCAAUCUGCUUUCAGGCUCUAGGUGUGCCAGUUCUGGACAUUUCAAAAUCAAAUGGGAAUAUACGAUACAUGACUUUUUGUGCCUGGCUUCUUCCACUUAGCGUAAUGUCUUCCAGGUUCAUCCAUGCCGUGGCAUGGAUCAGUAUCUCAUUCUUUCUAUGGCUGAAUAACCUGCCCUGAUAGGGGUGUGCCGCCUUGUAUUUACCCAUUCAUCAGUUUAUGGACAUUUGGAUUGUCUCUCUGUUUUUCUACAUUUUGAAUCAUGUCGCUGCGGAACAUUCAUAUACAAGUUUGCAUGUGGACACAUAUUUCAUUUCUCUUGGGUGUAUAUCUACAAGAAGAAUUGCCGAGUCAAAUGAUAAUUCUACAUUUAAUUUUUCAAGGAACUGUCACACUAUUUUCCAAAGUGGCUAAUCCUGGAGGAAUCAGAUACAGGAAUGAUACUCUAUAGUUCUUUUGUUAAAAAAAACUUUUCUGCUAGCGCAAUGAACGUCCUAAGGAAUUUGGAACUUUAAUCUUGAGACUGGAAUUUGUGAGCUAACCAUAAAUCACUUAACCAAAACAAGACAAAAUGCUAUUCAACAAAACGUUGAAGGAAGCAGUAAGAUUAAUAACUAAAGAAAACAAAUGACUUCAAUACCAUAACUUUAAAAAAAAAACUAUGAAAAUAGAACCGUAAGUCAUCUGUCCAUUGGUCAAAGGUGUUAGCACUGCCUCUUGUAUCAAAGAUUAAGACCCUAGCCCGAUAACCUGUCAAGCAGAGUCUACUGAAGUGAUGUUUAAGUGAGUGGGGGGGGGGGUGGGAGGAACGGGAUGAUCAAUAGCAAAAAUAACAACCAACUUCUCAGGAUACUCUCUGGCAAGCUUUGUUGUAAACAGAGAGGAAAGCAUAGCCUAAGUUUCACCUGCAAUACCUGUUAUCCUUGCCACAACUCUGCAAGAUUUUUUUUUUUACUUGUUGCUCUUGGCAGAGGUAUGCUUAUUUGUUACUGAGAGGGGCAACAAAAAUCCUUCUGUAUUUGCCUCUUGCUGAGGUUAGCAGCCACUGGGAGUUCCUUGAGCAUAAAAUUCCAGGUAGGUACUAUAGACCCACCCUUACCCAGAGCUGAUUGGCCCAGGGGCAGUGAAUGACCCAACAGUCACCCAACUGGUAGGGGCCUAUGAGGAGGUGUGCUGAGAUGGUUUUCCCAGCAGGGAUGCCACAGCCCAAACUGAGCUAAUGGCAUUCUCUUUGUU